This is a long non-coding RNA of Melitaea cinxia (Glanville fritillary), 108 nucleotides long. RefSeq lists it as uncharacterized. The record is from RefSeq and is a predicted model, not a curated record. Lineage: Eukaryota; Metazoa; Arthropoda; Insecta; Lepidoptera; Nymphalidae. The transcript has 2 exons.
UUUUACGUAGAGUUUGACUGAGUAGCAUGAGCUGCUGUCGCUCGAUUUAGGUGACAGUGGCGACUCUUGAUUACGGUUAUCGUCACUCGAUGGAGGUGGCAAGGUUAU